UGGAGAACUGAGGGGGGCUGCUCCUAGUACGAGAGGACCGGAGUGGACGCAUCACUGGUGUUCGGGUUGUCAUGCCAAUGGCACUGCCCGGUAGCUAAAUGCGGAAGAGAUAAGUGCUGAAAGCAUCUAAGCACGAAACUUGCCCCGAGAUGAGUUCUCCCUGACCCUUUAAGGGUCCUGAAGGAACGUUGAAGACGACGACGUUGAUAGGCCGGGUGUGUAAGCGCAGCGAUGCGUUGAGCUAACCGGUACUAAUGAACCGUGAGGCUUAACCUU
Molecule: ribosomal RNA, 276 nt
Filed under: Escherichia coli
Lineage: Bacteria; Pseudomonadati; Pseudomonadota; Gammaproteobacteria; Enterobacterales; Enterobacteriaceae
Also listed under: 3 other names
Description: partial 23S ribosomal RNA
Rfam family: Bacterial large subunit ribosomal RNA
Source: RNAcentral